Molecule: long non-coding RNA, 949 nt
Organism: Centropristis striata (black sea bass)
Lineage: Eukaryota; Metazoa; Chordata; Actinopteri; Perciformes; Serranidae
Exons: 3
Source: RefSeq, a predicted model, not a curated record
GGGACCUUCAUACAAGUUUGAGACCCAUGAUGUAGAUACCACUGGUGGACAAACGUUUGUGUUCGUUUGUUGGAGAUUUCAGCCUCCACGGCGACCUGAUAAAGCCCUUUUUCCGACACCCAGCCGGUUCGUCCAGGACUGACAGAGAAAUGUUCGGAUGCCGCUCGGGGAAGAUCACACCAUGUUCACACCAGCUGCUGAAGUGCCAGGAUGCCAUGACUAGAUUUCUCUGCUCAACUCAUCGUGGGUCUCCUGUCCAAACAGCCCUGGCUUCGGGAAAUGGUCCUGGAGGCACUGGCAUCAGGCAGCAGAGGAAUCAUCCAUCAACACAGGAGCUCCCAGAGAGCACCAGGAUCAGACUUCUGUCUUAAAGCUGCCAGACACUCAAAUCUGUAGGACAACAAAGACACCCAUGUCUCUUUGCUUGGAUCUAACGCAAGUCUGGGUUCUGGGGUCUGGUUGCACAGAGGCAUCUGAAGAAUACAACUAUUGUGAGGCCAAAAUGCAGAUCCAAGACCCAAGGUUUUUUAAGUGCCUCUAGAUCAUUCAAAAUCUAGUUCCCAAGCACGUUGAUCCAGUUGUACUGAUAAGACACUCACAGUACUUUGAGUAAUUAAAGUAUUGGGACUAUUUAAUGUCUUUCAGCUCAUUGUUGUUGUUUUUUUCCUGGCCUGUAACUUUCUAGUGAAUAUUUUUUUUUUGUUGAGUGUACAGAACCAUGACUCUCUCUGUUGGGGCACUUUCACAACCCAAACUUUAGUCCGUUUUAAUCGAUUUCACCAUCGAACGCUCCAAUUGUACUCUGUUGGGGACCAGAACAACCGGUUGUUCUGGGUCUUGGCCCUUUUCCAAACGGUCUCUAGUGUGGUUCGAUUGCACUGUGAACGUAAUUCGACCAGAAUCCGACCCAUUUAAAGGAAAUGCUACUUUGUCAUUGCAGAAUUAUCAA